RNAcentral lists this ribosomal RNA (448 nucleotides) under uncultured bacterium. Its description in RNAcentral is "bacterial SSU rRNA". It matches the Rfam family "Bacterial small subunit ribosomal RNA", at positions 355 to 825 of the family's 1533-position model. The record is from RNAcentral.
UGGGGAAUAUUGCACAAUGGGCGAAAGCCUGAUGCAGCAAUGCCGCGUGUGUGAAGAAGGCCUGCGGGUUGUAAAGCACUUUCGGUAGGGAAGAUAAUGACGGUACCUACAGAAGAAGCACCGGCUAACUCCGUGCCAGCAGCCGCGGUAAUACGGAGGGUGCGAGCGUUAAUCGGAAUUACUGGGCGUAAAGGGCUCGUAGGCGGCCAACUAAGUCAGACGUGAAAUCCCUCGGCUUAACCGGGGAACUGCGUCUGAUACUGGAUGGCUUGAAUCCGGGAGAGGGAUGUGGAAUUCCAGGUGUAGCGGUGAAAUGCGUAGAUAUCUGGAGGAACACCGGUGGCGAAGGCGGCAUCCUGGACCGGUAUUGACGCUGAGUGAGCGAAAGCCAGGGGAGCAAACGGGAUUAGAUACCCCCGUAGUCCCUGAGCGGGCUGGCAAGGCGCAU